This 87-nucleotide transfer RNA is filed under the name Pseudomonas orientalis. RNAcentral describes it as "tRNA_Leu_CAG". It matches the Rfam family "tRNA". Rfam says of the family: Transfer RNA (tRNA) molecules are approximately 80 nucleotides in length. Their secondary structure includes four short double-helical elements and three loops (D, anti-codon, and T loops). Further hydrogen bonds mediate the characteristic L-shaped molecular structure. tRNAs have two regions of fundamental functional importance: the anti-codon, which is responsible for specific mRNA codon recognition, and the 3' end, to which the tRNAs corresponding amino acid is attached (by aminoacyl-tRNA synthetases). tRNAs cope with the degeneracy of the genetic code in two manners: having more than one tRNA (with a specific anti-codon) for a particular amino acid; and 'wobble' base-pairing, i.e. permitting non-standard base-pairing at the 3rd anti-codon position. Lineage: Bacteria; Pseudomonadati; Pseudomonadota; Gammaproteobacteria; Pseudomonadales; Pseudomonadaceae. The record is from RNAcentral.
GCCUAGGUGGUGAAAUUGGUAGACACGCCAGCUUCAGGUGCUGGUGAUCGCAAGGUCGUGGAAGUUCGAGUCUUCUCCUGGGCACCA